Molecule: ribosomal RNA, 418 nt
Filed under: Semirossia tenera
Lineage: Eukaryota; Metazoa; Mollusca; Cephalopoda; Sepiida; Sepiolidae
Description: partial 12S ribosomal RNA
Source: RNAcentral
UCUUUAUUUUAAAAAUUUUUAUUACUUGAGUAGUGUGAACAGGUAAUUUAUAGAAAAUGGUGUAAUAUUAUUAGAAUGUUUGAAACUUAAAAGGCUUGGCGGUGUCAUAUAUCCUUCCAGGGGAGUUUGUUUAUUAAUUUGAUAAUCCCCAAUUUAUACUUACUUUUUUUUGAAUAAAUAAAUAAAAUCAGUUUGUAUAUUGCUGUCAUCAGUUUAUUUUGUAAAAAUUUUAUAAGAAACUUAAUAAUGAAUUGAUUAUGAUGUCAAGUCAAAAUGCAGCUAAUAAAAAAGGUUUAUAAAAUGAGCUACAAUUUAUAAUUUUUAAGUCGGAUUAGGUUGUGUAAAUUAAUUUAUGAAGUUGGACUUGGUAGUAAUAUUAUAAAUAGUAUGUUUUUAUGAAUUAGGUUUUAUGACGCGU